This is a non-coding RNA of Xyrichtys novacula (pearly razorfish), 1279 nucleotides long. Lineage: Eukaryota; Metazoa; Chordata; Actinopteri; Labriformes; Labridae. The record is from the annotation of a GenBank genome assembly.
CUGUCACCUUCCAAAACCAGCAAUCUAGCGCUCCCCUCCUCUUCACACACUGACUCACGCCUGUGUUUUUCGUCAAGGUGAGAGAGAAACUCGAUAACAGAGUAACGCUGAAUUGUUUCCCUGAACCGCUUUGACUUCAGAUUUCUGCAACUGCAGGGUUUUUUUCCUACUUAUUCAGCGUCUCUGAAGAAAAGUGUGCUCUCUGAGGUUUGAGGAUUUAAUGAUGUGAGAAACAAGAGAGUCACGAACACAGACAGGUGACAGAAGUGAGGAAAUUCAAGUGUAAGUGAGGUGUUGUCUGAACGAGUCGAAGCUCUGACUCUGAAACUCUCUGAGAGAUGGGAAGUCAUUAUGUUGAGGACAGUGUCUGCAGAGCAGAAGUGGUUAAGAUCAGAUGGUGAGUGAGAAGACAAGAAAAAAAACCCUUAAAGGGAUAUUCCGGGGUUAAAUUAAUUUAGGGUCAAACACGCCGUAACACCGAGUUAGACCCCCCCUCCAGAGAUGGAUGUUGUCGACCGCUUGCUUCUCUAGUUAUACCAACUUUAGUAACGACCGCAGGAUAGAAAUACAGAGAGCCACGCCCUCAACCAAAACGCCACUCUAUAGCCACAAAUAAUGCUCAGAACAGCACCUAACUUCAUCAACAGGACAUAUAGGGUCACAGACAUAGUACUAGACACCAAACAUCUUUUUAACUUUGACUCAUUUCUUUAGCAAAGAGACUAAACACAACUCACCUACUCUCUUCCAAUUCCAUUACAGACUACAGCGGGGUGCCGCAGCUCAAGGAAGAACAUUUAUGAUCAUUUCUUUAUCAUUUCCUUGAAGUAAUAAUCACCAUAUUGAUCAUUUUACAGACGCGGUAGUUCUUCUGUCUUAGCGUCUCGGUCUGAUUGUAUUUCCAUGAAGAAAUGAUCAUAAAUGUUCUUCCUUGAGCUGCGGCACCCCGCUGUAGUCUGUAAUGGACUGGCCUGAGGUCUCACUACAAACAAGCGGCUGCUGGAAGAGAGUAGGUGAGUUGUGUUUAGUCUCUUUGUUAAAGAAAUGAGUCAAAGUUAAAAAGAUGUUUGGUGUCUAGUACUAUGGCUGUGACCCUAUAUGUCCUGUUGAUGAAGUUAGGUGCUGUUCUGAGCAUUAUUUGUGGCUAUAGAGUGGCGUUUUGGUUGGGGGCGUGGCUCUCUGUAUUUCUAUCCUGCGGUCGUUACUAAAGUUGGUUUAACUAGAGAAGGAAGCGGUCGACAACAUUCAUCUCUGGAGGGGGGGUCUAACUCGGUGUUAC